AGAUAGAGGCGUGCUCGAAGAGAGCCGUAACACAGGUGCUGCAUGGCUGUCGUCAGCUCGUGUCGUGAGAUGUUGGGUUAAGUCCCGCAACGAGCGCAACCCUUGUCAUUAGUUGCUACAUUCAGUUGGGCACUCUAAUGAGACUGCCGGUGACAAGCCGGAGGAAGGUGGGGAUGACGUCAAGUCCUCAUGGCCCUUAUAGGUGGGGCUACACACGUCAUACAAUGGCUGGUACAAAGGGUUGCCAACCCGCGAGGGGGAGCUAAUCCCAUAAAGCCAGUCGUAGUCCGGAUCGUAGUCUGCAACUCGACUACGUGAAGUCGGAAUCGCUAGUAAUCGUGGAUCAGAAUGUCACGGUGAAUACGUUCCCGGGUCUU
This 377-nucleotide ribosomal RNA is filed under the name uncultured Rhodoferax sp. Its description in RNAcentral is "bacterial SSU rRNA". It matches the Rfam family "Bacterial small subunit ribosomal RNA", at positions 1004 to 1382 of the family's 1533-position model. Lineage: Bacteria; Pseudomonadati; Pseudomonadota; Betaproteobacteria; Burkholderiales; Comamonadaceae. The record is from RNAcentral.